UGGGCCCUAAAUACAUGCCAAGUUCGAGCGGACAGAUGGGAGCUUGCUCCCUGAUGUUAGCGGCGGACGGGUGAGUAACACGUGGGUAACCUGCCUGUAAGACUGGGAUAACUCCGGGAAACCGGGGCUAAUACCGGAUGGUUGUCUGAACCGCAUGGUUCAGACAUAAAAGGUGGCUUCGGCUACCACUUACAGAUGGACCCGCGGCGCAUUAGCUAGUUGGUGAGGUAACGGCUCACCAAGGCGACGAUGCGUAGCCGACCUGAGAGGGUGAUCGGCCACACUGGGACUGAGACACGGCCCAGACUCCUACGGGAGGCAGCAGUAGGGAAUCUUCCGCAAUGGACGAAAGUCUGACGGAGCAACGCCGCGUGAGUGAUGAAGGUUUUCGGAUCGUAAAGCUCUGUUGUUAGGGAAGAACAAGUGCCGUUCAAAUAGGGCGGCACCUUGACGGUACCUAACCAGAAAGCCACGGCUAACUACGUGCCAGCAGCCGCGGUAAUACGUAGGUGGCAAGCGUUGUCCGGAAUUAUUGGGCGUAAAGGGCUCGCAGGCGGUUUCUUAAGUCUGAUGUGAAAGCCCCCGGCUCAACCGGGGAGGGUCAUUGGAAACUGGGGAACUUGAGUGCAGAAGAGGAGAGUGGAAUUCCACGUGUAGCGGUGAAAUGCGUAGAGAUGUGGAGGAACACCAGUGGCGAAGGCGACUCUCUGGUCUGUAACUGACGCUGAGGAGCGAAAGCGUGGGGAGCGAACAGGAUUAGAUACCCUGGUAGUCCACGCCGUAAACGAUGAGUGCUAAGUGUUAGGGGGUUUCCGCCCCUUAGUGCUGCAGCUAACGCAUUAAGCACUCCGCCUGGGGAGUACGGUCGCAAGACUGAAACUCAAGGAAUUGACGGGGGCCCGCACAAGCGGUGGAGCAUGUGGUUAAAUCGAAAGCACCGCGAAGAACCUC
This 951-nucleotide ribosomal RNA is filed under the name uncultured prokaryote. RNAcentral describes it as "bacterial SSU rRNA". It matches the Rfam family "Bacterial small subunit ribosomal RNA", at positions 43 to 972 of the family's 1533-position model. The record is from RNAcentral.